AAAUCAAGUGUAAAGAGCAAUGAAUUUUAAUCCUAGCUUCUCGGCAUAUAAGGACACUAAGGCUCUAGGUCACCCUUAAUUUUGACAAGCCCAGUUCUCUGCUUCUGUCUGAUGUUAUUUAUCCUGUAUCCCACUGUACAUAUGCUGUGUUUCUCUUAAAGACCUCAGAGAGCAGAAUCUAUCCAAGUGGUAAAAAUACUGGCAGCCAAGAAUAGGUCUACCUACCACCUUGUAGUUUACAUAAAAAGGAGAAGAAAGGAAGCCAAAUGACUGUAAGUUUCUUGCAUAAUCCACACCAGAAAGCAUUGCCUACAGACUGUCACCACCCACUAUUGACUCUGUUGCUUCAUGAUGAAUGCUGGACGAAACAUCUUCAAAUUCCACCUGAUUUAUGUACGGUGUCAACAUGACUUAAGGCCCUGUGCUGAGCACCGGAGGUAUAAAAAGAGAGUGAACAAUCCAAACAACCCUAGAGCAGAGACAAGUGUGUGACUCAUUACAAUGUAGUCUAAAGACCUUAUGGGAUCACCCACGGCGCUGUGAAACUGGAGGAAGAAGCAGCAUUCAAGUGAAUGAACGUGUAUUUGGACUGAGGGAAGGAAAUACUCUUCAAGAGAGAUUUAAAAGGUUCCUACAGGGAUGGUCAUAAAGGAUAGCCAAGGCCUUAUCCAGGUGAGAAAUUUCUAAAGGCACAGCAAAACCUGGAGGCAUCAGAGAGCAGAGCACAGGUGCAGAACACAGGACCCCACGUGGCUGAAGCAAAGCCUGUGUUUUUCAGAUCUUACAUAAGAAACCUUUGCUGGCCAGAGACGAUGGCUCAUGCUAGUAAUCUCAGCACUUUGGGAGGCUAAGACAGGAGGAUCACUUGAGUUCAGGAGCUCGAGACCAGCCUGGGCAAGAUGAAUCAAGGUCUCAUUAUGUUGCCCAGGCUGGUCUCGAAUUCCUGGGCUCAAGUGAUCCUCCUGCCUUGGCCUCCCAAACUGCUGGAAUUACAGGCUUAUAAAAGUUGUUCAUAUCAAAGGCACCCACCCACUGAUGUGCCAGGUCCAGAAUGCACUGCCGUGUCACUCCUGGAAGAAUGAUGCCAUCUAGCGGAGGAGUUGCCAGUUCUUCUUCUGUCAAUCAGAAAUUGGGAUAUUUUCAAACUUUCACUAUAUUAGGCAUGCUUUAUUAUCAACAGCCAUUCUUUGAAAACCAUUAUAAUUUUGCUAGUAACAAACAUAAAGAAAAUGUUACUGUUCUGCAUGGUCAAAGUUCCCAAAUCUCCCAAAUCACAUUUCAGGUAGACUCAUCAAAAAAAGAAAGAAAGAAAGAAAGAAAGCCACUUAGCUAAUCAUCUUCAGUUUACCCUUAACCAGUAAAAUAAUGAGACGGUUUCCCACCAACAAACAGUAAGAGUUAUUGCAUGGUCUUAAGAGGACCAAUCUGAAGUGAAAUUUUACCUUAGCAGAUGAAAGGUGGUUAGUAAUUAGAAUAAUGUAGAUAGGAUCUUAUUCAAAAAAACUGGUCAUUACCAAACCUUCUAAGAAUGCUAUGGAGGAGGCUGUUGCCAUGAAGUGUACAUGCCUACUCAGUCUGGUCACUGCUUCCAUGCUCCCCUUUGAGAGUCCACUUUUUUUUUUUUUUUAAGAUGGAGUUUCAUUCUUGUUGUCCAGGCUGGGGCGCAGUGGCCCGAUCUCAGCUCACAGCAACCUCUGCCUCCCAGGUUCAAGCAAUUCUCCUGCCUCAGACUCCCAAGUAACUGGGAUUACAGGCAUGCACCACCACGCCCAGCUAAUUUUUGUAUUUUUAGUAGAGACAGGGUUUCACUAUGUUGGCCAGGCUGUUCUCAAACUCCGGACCUCAGAUGAUCCACCCACCUCAGCCUCCCAAAGUGCUGGGAUUACAGGCAUGAGCCACUGUGCCCAGCCUGAGAGUCUGCCUUCGGUGGUUUUCAAAGCAUCAGCAUCAAGUAUAUGGAGAUGCUGCCUUCCCACUCUGAGAUUCAAAUGUAAUGGGCUCAGAGUGAGCUCAAGCAUGCAUACAGCUAAGAAAGAAGACAUUUAAAACCAAAACUCCAAGGCUGAGCUACUGGUCUACUGUGAGAUGACUGCAGGCAUCCCUAACUACUGCGAGGUCUAGUGGGACAACUGUUCACAGGCAUCAUGUGUGGUCUAUCAGCUGCACAACUCUCUUUACAGUACCCUGUGGCACUCAGCAUCUCCCUCUCCUCUCCACCUCUGACACCCAGGAGUCUGAAUCUAGUGAAUCUUGACACUGAAGCCACCACCCUCUUUCUCAAUACACAGUGGCUCUAGGCUCACCUGCUCCACUGGGGUUACAUCUGACAUGCCCAACGAUCAAGCUCUAUCUGAAAUACCAAACUCAUCUUCAUCCUUCUAUCCCCAGAACUGGGCAUUGUGCCUGGCCCAGAGUAUAUAUAAUAAAUGCUUUUGAAUAAAAAAUAAAUGAAUAAGUUAUCUUUGUUAAGAUACAGCAGUAUGGCUUUUUUGAAUUUUGUUUCUGAAAAUCAUCUGCUGAAAAUUGCUUUCUGGAAAGGAGAAAAUUUGUUCUUGGCAAUGUUCUUAGGGCUACUCUUUGUCGUGUUUAGAAGUGUUGAUGAUCUCAAAAUAAACAUGUGUUUUGCAAUAGCUAGCUAACUAGACACAUAAAUGUACGGAUCUAUUUGUGUGCGCACACACACACAUUUCCAGUGCCCCCAAACUGGACCUUUCCUAAAGCUUGCUGAGUUCUGAGAUGACAUCACGUUAAAUGAAAACAGCAGCCCCGCAUGGGCAAGUGCUGUUUUGUGAAAUAUAUUUAACACCCAUAUCUGUAACCACUAGCCUGAGGUCAAGGAACAGAACAUCUGCUUCUCUGGUUGCCAGACAGAGAUGAUGACAUGACAACAUUUGGGUGAGAAAUAUUCAUUUUCCUCUGCAACCACAAACAUACUUACAAGAGCCAGAACUCACUCCAGAUUGCCCAACAUGAGGAAAACACAACCUACAAAUGCAGCUUGUUUUUGACAAAGAAAUCAUUUUUAGGAGAUGGGGAAUUUAGAAGCAAUAACAGCAGGAUUCAUCUGUGACUUCCCAAAGUCAAACACUAAUGGAAACCAGGAAAGCAGGUCUGUGUAAGUGCCCUAAAUACCAUCAGCACAAUUAGCCAUUUAUUCUACAAAUACAUAUUGAGUGCUGUUUACUGUUUUAAGCUCUAUGAAUAGAGCAGUGAACAAAAAUGACAUAACUCCCUGCUUACUUUCUAAUAGGCACACGUAAACAUUUAUUGUGUUGACAGUAUGUUAGACUAUGGAAGGAGAAAAAAAAAAAGGAAGGAAAAGCAAUGGAGAGUGCUGGGGAGUAACAGGAAAGGGAGUUUAUGAUUUUGAUUAACGGCUCAAGGAAAGCCAGAUGGAUAAUGGGAUUUGUAAGCAAGGAUAUGGAGUAUAUGAAAAAGCAAGCGGUGUAGACAUCUGAGGAAGAAUGCUCCAAGUCGAGUCAGUAUAAACACCUGACGUGUCUGAGAAGACUCAAGAUGUGACCUGAGCAAAACCGAUACUCACUGCCGUGGUCGUUAUCCCAAAGUGACUGUGAACUCAACUGCAAGGACUGGGUCUUAUUUUUCAGGGUAUCUCCAGGGUCCAGGAUAUGAUACAAUGCUUUGUUCAAACAGUGAAUAGCAAGUGUAUGGGUUAAAUUACUCAUCAACAGAGUGAUAGUGUAUGAUCUUACCACCAUGGGUGCUGUUACUGAAAUCAAAACUCCCUUGAGUUACAAGCUGAGUGCCACACACAGUGACUGUGCACAGCACUAUGCUUUGAACGCACACUAUCCACCACCCCGUCCACCUUCCUACACCAGCCAUCUCAACCAACAGGGGCAGUGUGUGUGUGGGCACUCAUGACAAGACGGCAGGCUAUUACUGAAAGAACUCUGCUUAUACCUCCCAUCAGUAAAGUUUGUGAAAAUCAAUAUUUUGCUGAUUUAUUCAUUGUUCAUUGUAUUUUCCUAAAGCCAAAACCAAAACUACUACAGAAUUGCUUCAAUGUCUUUUUUUAGCCCAAAGCUUUUUCUUAGCAUUCUAUUUACUUCAAAUAUUUAUUCUAUUUCCUUUCUUUCUCCUUAUUCUGAAUAUUAUUUGUUCUGUUAGAUGAACAUCCCCAAAGUGAAGGAACAUGUUAGAACUAAAGUUAUCUCAGGAAACCAUAAUCUGCAUAGUAACACUCUUAAGGUCUUGUAUAUUUUGCAAGAGGCAGAAGACAAAUUCACUUAUUUCUAUUCUGACCUUUAAAAGCCACGGUGGAAAUGUUUCAUGAUUGUUGUUUGGAUAAAGGACAAUUUUCCACCAGGAUGGUUUCUGGUUAAAUCAUGUAUCUCUGAUUCAGACUGUACUUAAAUUCUGACAUCUCCCAUCCAUAAAAAUAAUGAUGGUACCACCUCUGAAUGAUGUAACUGUUUUUGUUUCAAAUUGUGUGGGUUUUUUGGUGGAGUCUGGAGUAGGGGUAAGAGUGGGAAGAUAGGAAGAAGAGUUUAAUCGGCCUAUUAUCUUCUAAGUGCAGAGGUCAACACUCACU
Molecule: non-coding RNA, 4555 nt
Organism: Callithrix jacchus (white-tufted-ear marmoset)
Lineage: Eukaryota; Metazoa; Chordata; Mammalia; Primates; Cebidae
Source: RefSeq, a predicted model, not a curated record